Molecule: ribosomal RNA, 212 nt
Filed under: uncultured bacterium
Lineage: Bacteria
Description: partial 16S ribosomal RNA
Rfam family: Bacterial small subunit ribosomal RNA
Source: RNAcentral
UACGUAGGUGACCAGCGUUGUCCGGAUUUACUGGGCGUAAAGAGCGCGCAGGCGGUCGUUCAAGUCGAGUGUGAAAGCCCCCGGCUCAACUGGGGAGGGUCACUCGAUACUGAUCGACUUGAAGGCAGGAGAGGGAAGCGGAAUUCCCGGUGUAGUGGUGAAAUGCGUAGAUAUCGGGAGGAACACCAGUGGCGAAGGCGGGCUUCCUGGCC